This 30-nucleotide non-coding RNA is filed under the name Rattus norvegicus (Norway rat). Lineage: Eukaryota; Metazoa; Chordata; Mammalia; Rodentia; Muridae. The record is from RNAcentral.
UACUGCCUCUGGUGUGUGACUUUGAUCAAC